This is a non-coding RNA of Schistosoma mansoni, 45 nucleotides long. The record is from Rfam. Lineage: Eukaryota; Metazoa; Platyhelminthes; Trematoda; Strigeidida; Schistosomatidae.
AUCCAGCAGAAGAAUCCCAAAUAGGAUGAAACGUGCAUCCUGGAU